UGGGGAAUUUUGGGACAAUGGGCGAAAGCCUGAUCCAGCAAUGCCGCGUGUGUGAAGAAGGCCUUCGGGUUGUAAAGCACUUUUGUCCGGAAAGAAAUCCUUGGCUCUAAUACAGUCGGGGGAUGACGGUACCGGAAGAAUAAGCACCGGCUAACUACGUGCCAGCAGCCGCGGUAAUACGUAGGGUGCAAGCGUUAAUCGGAAUUACUGGGCGUAAAGCGUGCGCAGGCGGUUUGCUAAGACCGAUGUGAAAUCCCCGGGCUCAACCUGGGAACUGCAUUGGUGACUGGCAGGCUAGAGUAUGGCAGAGGGGGGUAGAAUUCCACGUGUAGCAGUGAAAUGCGUAGAGAUGUGGAGGAAUACCGAUGGCGAAGGCAGCCCCCUGGGCCAAUACUGACGCUCAUGCACGAAAGCGUGGGGAGCAAACAGGAUUAGAUACCCUGGUAGUCCACGCCCUAAACGAUGUCAACUAGUUGUUGGGGAUUCAUUUCCUUAGUAACGUAGCUAACGCGUGAAGUUGACCGCCUGGGGAGUACGGUCGCAAGAUU
Molecule: ribosomal RNA, 548 nt
Filed under: uncultured bacterium
Lineage: Bacteria
Description: partial 16S ribosomal RNA
Rfam family: Bacterial small subunit ribosomal RNA
Source: RNAcentral